GUGAGGGGCCGAGAGGGGCCGAGAGGGGCCGUGAGGGGCCGAGAGGGGCCGCUCCGGGGCUCUCUGAGGUCAAAGGGAGCCCUGUGGUGUCUGUGCCUCAGGCUCCAGCUGGGCUCAGGGGCCGCGCGAGCCCACCCGCCCCAGGUGCUGCAGCGAAAGGCCGCAGAGCUCGGGCGGGCGGAGCCCCUGUGAGGGUGCGGCCCCUCACGGACAGACGGACGGACAGACGGACGGACGGAGCCCUCGUGAGGGUGCGGCCCCUCCCCGGCGGCGGUGUCGGGGGCUGAGGAGGACCUUCCCCGCGCUGUGAGCGCCGGGCCAGCCUGGCUGAGGGACCUGCUGAUGGAAACCCGUAGGGGGGAAGUGAGCAGAGAAGAGCCGGAAGCGUGUGCGUGGGGGAGAAACAGUCUCAGUGGUCCCCUGGGAUGGUGCAAGUCUGUGUCCUUCCUCUUUCUCACACCAGCAUGGACAGCUGAAGGGAUUUUUCAGUGAGUUCCCAAAAAGAGUGACUGAGCCAAGCAGUUGUGGAAGAGGAUGGAAACCCCUUGGACUUCCCAUCUUGGAGAGAGGAGGACAUCUCUGAGAAAUCAGGGAGAACUGCAAGGGGCCCUUCUAAGCUGAAGGACGAGAGGAGAGGAGCACUGGACACCUCGCCUGGGUGUUCUCAGCAGCUGGGGCCAUGUCCUGUUUGGAGGAGAGAGCCGGCCAGCGAAGGGCUGUGAGCAGCAGCACCCCUGGGGACCCCUCCUGGCCAGAAAACGG
Molecule: long non-coding RNA, 762 nt
Organism: Pipra filicauda (Wire-tailed manakin)
Lineage: Eukaryota; Metazoa; Chordata; Aves; Passeriformes; Pipridae
Exons: 3
Source: RefSeq, a predicted model, not a curated record